This 468-nucleotide ribosomal RNA is filed under the name uncultured bacterium. RNAcentral's name for it is "partial 16S ribosomal RNA". It matches the Rfam family "Bacterial small subunit ribosomal RNA", at positions 28 to 507 of the family's 1533-position model. The record is from RNAcentral.
GACGAACGCUGGCGGCGUGCUUAACACAUGCAAGUCGAACGGAAAGGCCCUGCUUUUGUGGGGUGCUCGGGUGGCGAACGGGUGAGUAACACGUGAGUAACCUGCCCUUGACUUUGGGAUAACUUCAGGAAACUGGGGCUAAUACCGGAUAGGAGCUCCUGCUGCAUGGUGGGGGUUGGAAAGUUUCGGCGGUUGGGGAUGGACUCGCGGCUUAUCAGCUUGUUGGUGGGGUAGUGGCUUACCAAGGCUUUGACGGGUAGCCGGCCUGAGAGGGUGACCGGCCACAUUGGGACUGAGGUACGGACCAGACUCCUACGGGAGGCAGCAGUGGGGAAUAUUGCACAAUGGGCGGAAGCCUGAUGCAGCAACGCCGCGUGCGGGAUGACGGCCUUCGGGUUGUAAACAGCUUUCGCCUGUGACGAAGCGUGAGUGACGGUAAUGGGUAAAGAAGCACCGGCUAACUACGUG